This 272-nucleotide ribosomal RNA is filed under the name uncultured soil bacterium. RNAcentral describes it as "partial 16S ribosomal RNA". It matches the Rfam family "Bacterial small subunit ribosomal RNA", at positions 26 to 303 of the family's 1533-position model. The record is from RNAcentral.
AGGACGAACGCUGGCGGCGUGCUUAACACAUGCAAGUCGAGCGGAAAGGCCCUUCGGGGUACUCGAGCGGCGAACGGGUGAGUAACACGUGAGUAAUCUGCCCAUCGCUUCAGGAUAGCCAUCGGAAACGGUGAUUAAUACUGGAUAUGACAUUCCUUCGCAUGUUGGGGUGUGGAAAGUUUUUUCGGCGGUGGAUGUGCUCGCGGCCUAUCAGCUUGUUGGUGGGGUAAUGGCCUACAAGGCUUUGACGGGUAGCCGGCCUGAGAGGGUGA